GGACAGGUGAGUCAUCGAAUCUUUGAACGCACAUUGCGCCCCCUGGUAUUCCGGGGGGCAUGCCUGUCCGAGCGUCAUUACUGCCCUCAAGCGCGGCUUGUGUGUUGGGCCCUCGUCCCCCCCGGGGGACGUGCCCGAAAGGCAGUGGCGGCGCCGUGCCCGGACCUCGAGCGUAUGGGGCUUUGUCACCCGCUCUGGAGGCCCGGCCGGCGGCCGUCGGACCACCCCAACCUUUUUAACCGGUUGACCUCGGAUCAGGCAGGGAUACCCGCUGAACUUAAGCAUAUCAAUAAGCGGAGG
Molecule: unclassified non-coding RNA, 300 nt
Filed under: uncultured Onygenales
Lineage: Eukaryota; Fungi; Ascomycota; Eurotiomycetes; Onygenales
Description: sequence contains 5.8S rRNA gene, ITS2
Rfam family: 5.8S ribosomal RNA (bases 1-77)
Source: RNAcentral